CAUCUUAAUAUUGUCUAGCAUAUCUCUCCAUUUGCUUUUCAGGUUACGGAACAUACGGUAUGGUUUCAAUACUAUCCUUGUGAUCCUGAUCUGGCGCAUUUUUAUUGCAAGAUCACAAAUGGCAAGAAACAUCUGGUACUUUGUAGUUAGCCUGUGUUACAAGUUUCUGUCAUAUUUUCGAGCAUCCAGUACUAUGAGAUACUGAAGACCAAGAAUUUAGCUUUAGAACAUCUAUGCAUAUGGUGGUCUAAAAAUGCACAAAAUGUAAAAUGUACUUAAAGUCAUCUCACUUUUUGUCAAACAUUAAACCAUCUUAGAUUGGAAUGUGGAGUAAAGUAUGGUACAUUUUAUGUAACAUUUAAUGUUUAUGCUCAUAAAACCUAGUGAACACACUGUGGUAUGCCAGCUCAAAUCUGUAAUAGCCACCAAAACCAUAACUAAACGUUUUGAUCCCUGGAAAGAAAGGGAUAGGGUGAGGGCAAGAGUAGGAAAUAGGAACCCUGACCAGUAUAACUGUGCAAUUUUUGGGACAUAUUAAUUAAAAUAUGCCUUAACAUAAUUUCUACUAUUUAGUGCAAUGGGUAGCAUUUAUUUGGAUAGGAAUACUAGCUAAGUUGGUAGAUGUCUGAUUCUUUAAUGUUCAAUUUUUUUUUUCAUCAAUUGAAGUGGGUUUGAGUCUUGUUAAGACUAUAACCAAACUAUUUUCACUUCAUCCUAUAAGUUAUUGAGUGAUAUCAAACAUGAAAACGUGUUCCAGUUUUCUUUUUCUGAUUAAAUGUCCAGUGCAUAUCAUUUUUCUAUAAGUAAUCAGUUGCUUUAUAAUGAGAAGGCUAUAUAUUAUUCUAAAAACCCGCUGGAUCUAAAUGGGUUUGAAAAUCCGUAUCAAUAUAUGCUGUGUGUUUUUAAAGGACAACAAAAACAAAUUCAUUGAAACUAUAUCAAAAAGAAUAGGAGUACUUUUUUCUUGUCCACAUUUCAGUCAAAUAAAAAUCAAUCCUGUGAGAUUGUGUUUAUAUAUUGAAGCAAGAGGAUUUUUUAGGACUUUAUUGGAGGUGGGUGUAGGGAAGGAUUCACCAUACUUGGGCUCUCCUUCCUUUAUACAUUAUAUCAUAGGACUUUUAAAAGGCUUGUACUGCUUUUCAAAUGAGAUCUGAAAGUGCAUUAUUAUGGAAGAAUGUAUUUGCAGCUAUUAAUAACAUCAAGAAAAUGUCCUUGUGUGUAAGUAAACACAUUAAUUUUGACCUUGAAAGCUGAAUUCCUUAAAGAAAAUAAUACAAAAUGUGUAUAAAAUUAAAUAAAGGACUUUAUUUACAUACCAUAUAAAGUAGCAAACUGUUGAAUGAGUUUGAAGAUAUCAUUUAUUUUUUCUGCAUGUGGUUUUAGCUUUAGAAAGAAAUGCAUUAUAGAACCAAGUAAUAGCAAGAAAAUUGAUGUAUAUUUUAAUGAUACAUUAUAAUUCCCUUUAAAUUGCAAUAGUAGUUUACUAUUUUAACAUAUAUUUGGUUUAACAGAUUGUUCAGCAUUAUACUGUUCUAAUUAAGCUGAUCAAGUUGUAUUAUAUUUAAAUCAUCAGCAAUGUAUCGUGAAUAUGUUUAAAGGGUUCAGUUCACAGUACAAAGUUACAUGUAACUUCUCAAUUUCCUUUGUCAAUUUAAAUGCAAUGUAUAAAAAGUUUAUUUUGAUAUUGUGGAAAAACUAAAUGUAAAAGAAAUCACCUUCUUCCAUGCAGGUGUAUAAUCUUGAAAAAGAAAAAUGCUUCCAUGUUGAAGCCAGAUUUUCUGUAGUAAAACUUUUAAACAUUAUUUUAAAAGAAAUAUGUAUGUAAAUAGCUAUAUAUUCUUUGGAAUGAUACUAAAGUCUUUGGUCAAGGACCAUACCUUGUAUAAGGUGUGAGAGACCAUGACAGUGUGAAAAUGGAAUAAAUAAUGAUGCCUUGGAUUUAAGGUGGCCCAUAUAUUUACAUUAAGUACUUCAUCUCUCCAAAUAUAUUUCCAUAACAUGUUGAAAACAUGCUAACAUUUGUACGACUUUUGUAAUUCUGCCAGAGAUACCUAGAAUCAGAUGAAUUUUCUUUGUGUCUUAACAAGAGGAUCAGGUGCAACUUGGGCAGGCCUGUGAAGUGCUUUGGGAGUAUUUUGUCUUCUGAACUGUUUUACUGUUCUUAUAAUUUAAGUUAAAUACGAAUUGGGAGGGUGCUGAGGCUACUGUAUUAAUUUUUGUGUUUAGAAUUGUGUCAAAAGAAGGGUAAUGGGUAAAUUAAGUAUGUCAUCCUAGGACUUAAAAUUCUAAAGUUAGUAUAAAGAGUGUAUAGAUUGUUAAUCCUCAUCAACUAGAUUUUGGAUUUAAGUCAGAUUCAAAGAUUUUGGAAAUCUGUUCUCUGUAUCGUUUCAUAGACAAGGUUUUUAGUUCUGUGUGUAUGUUUCUCACAAACUCAUUUAACAAGACAGUUUAUAAAAUAGAUUCAUUUCAUUUAGUUCAUUUGAUAAAACUGUAUUCUAAAACAUUUUAGAUAUUUCCCAUUUUUCACUCUUAAUUGGGACAUGUGUGUUAAAUUGUGAUGUCAUUAAGAGUUUAUUUAAUUUUGAUCUGGCAACACUAUAUGUCUUACAGCUCAGUGCAGAGAAACAUGGCAAUAUGUUGUUCUUUGACCUAAGGAUGGCAUAGAAUGAAGAUUCUUUGUAUUUGUAUAAUAAAGCUUGGAAGUGGGGGGGAAAACUCACUUCUCCCCUUUCUUUGUGUUUGUCUGCAGGAACUGAUUCAGGAUUUUUUGGUUUGUAUUUUUUGUUUUAAUUGUAAACAGAUAAUCUUUUAUAAGCAGUAAAUAGAAGCAUUAUUGGGUGCCUUUGUUUGUAAACCAAAAAGUAAUAAAUGAAUCCCUCUAUUUCCAUUAUAGUUUUUAUUGUAUUUUUAUGUUCUGAAAAUUAUAUGAGAUAAUGUGGUUAGGAUUACAGGAAGCAGUUCUUAACGCCCCUUGUCUUCUUUAGGUGUCCUUAUUAAUUCUUAUAUCCCAAUAUUAUUUAAGUCUGAGUUGCUCACACAGUAUUUUAGGGAAAUAAUAUAUGCCAAGUGAAUGCUUUUUUGUUAAAGUAUUAUUUUUGUGAAUUAGCUAGAAUGAGCUUGUUUUUCUAAAAACAGAACCAGGAGACCACCAGGGUGUCAUUAGACUCCAGCUACUUUGUUUCAUAUUGAAUCCUGUUAGUUUGGGUACAUUAGUAAUUUAUCUGACUCCAUAUAAGGAAUUACUCAUUAGUGAUACAGAUUGAACCUUUUGGGGGUGAGAAGGGCAGAGUAUAUCAGGCUGAGGUACAGCUGAAUGUACAUUGGCCUUCUAAGCAUGUGCUUGUAGGCUGACUCCCAACCGUGACUUGAAACCAUUCUCAUUAAUUUGCUCUGCUUUGAGGAAAACUUUCUCUUUGCAAGAGAAAGGAACACAUGCUGUGAAAUUUGAUCCAUAAAUGAGUUUAAAUUAACAUCAUGUGAUAGAAGAUAUAUGAAAUAUUUUUUAAUUAAUAUUUUUGUCUUGAAGCAAUUUUCCAGUGAUAGAAUGAAUUUGUCUUAGCAUCUCUGCUACCCCUAAGAUUCCUAAACAAAUCAUCUUUUUGUCAAUUGAAUACCAUUGUGCAAAAUUGUCAAAUAAUUCUUUUGAUUUUUUUUUAUUAAAGAAAAACUUGAGUAACAUUAAGUUUGUGCUCUUUUGCUAGUUGAUGACUAAAAGCAUUUACUUAGAAAAACUGAAAGUGGUGUGAGUUUAAUGUCUUCAUUGUGGGCCAUAACUCAGAGGAAUAAGGCUAUAAUUGUUAUGUGUUUAGCUAGUGAUCACAGACUAUCUCUAAGACUUGUAAUUUUAUACAAAGGGAAGAGAGUUAUUUAAAUUUUUUUUUCAAAUUCAUUAAUCUAUAUAAUUAUUCCUAUUUAUUCUCUUCAAAAUACUAAAUCUUUUCAUGUUAAAGCUCCAUGAAGUUGAAUUAGAUGUCUUCCAAAGAUUCUUUGGAGGCCGACUUUAUUUUCUGUUGUUGAGUGGGAAAUCUAAUUCUCAUUUUCUCUUGCAAAAAUCUGUAGAGCAACAUGAAACUAGAAAAGUGCUGGGUUGAACCAUAUAAAAAUGGUAAUAUGUCUUUGACCUGUGAGGGUAAUUUCAUAUGACUCAACCUAGUAUUAUAGCCUUCUUUUUUUUUUACUUUUAACACUUCUGAAUGGAAACAUAGUUGAGCGUAGUUUUAUUUAAAAAUAGUCAUGUAAGAAGAUUGUAUAUUUCUUUUAUCAGUAAUUAAUUGUUUGACUUUUAAUGCCUAAUCUGCUUUUUUUCCACACAGGUUCUUAACCUGGUCCUCACUUUCUUGAGGGCAGAACCACCAGCCUUGCACCUUUUACAUUCUAAAACACUAGCUAAUAUUUGUUUAGUGUUUACUGUGAUAGUGAGUACUCUAAGCAUUUAAUUCUGUAAGUAUUAACUCAUUUAUACCUUACAACAGCCCUCUGUUGAAGGCAUCUCUAUUACUCAUGUUUUAUAAGUGUAAUAGCUAAGGCAUAUGACUUUAAUCAUUCGUCCACAUUAUCCUUCUAGUAGCAGAGCCAAGACUCUAUUUGUCUAGCUUCAACCUAUACUGUUAUUCAGUACAGCUAUAGUUGGUCUUUGAUACCUGCAUCCACAGAUUAACCAACCAGUUUGAAAAUCUUUUUUUAAAAAAAUUUCAUCUGUACUGAAUAGAUACAGAACUUUUCUUUGUCAUUAUUGCCUAAACAAUAUAGUAUAACUAUGGGAUAUGCAUUGUUAUGCAUUUGCCAUACAUGUAGUCAAUGACUGAAAUGUGAGUUGUGACUGUAUUUACAUAGUACUUACAUUGUCUUAGGUACUAUUAAUAAUUUACAGAUGAUUUACAGUAUGAUGACCAACGUGGGAAGAUUAGGUACAAAUACUAUGCCAUUUUAUAUGAGGAACUUGAGCAUCUAAAGAUUUUGGAACCCAUGGGAAUCCUGGAACUAAUCACUAUAGGAAUACAAAUAUUUCUGGACUAUUUAGAGAAGUUCUUUAACAUGUUGUACUUUUUUUUUUUUUUUUAGAAAAACUCAGCAAUCACCAGCUAAACAAAUAACAAAUACAGACUAAGACCUAGGAAUUAUGGCCCACAAUGAAGACAUCAAAAUCACAAAACUGUAAGCUUCUCAAUGGCCAGAGAAUAUAUAUACACUACCUUUACUUUAGAAUUUCUUUUUAUUUGAUAUGAACAGAUAAUUUAAACAAACACACACAAUCAUAAACAAACAAAAGAGCACAAAGGAAUGAUUUACUGAAUAUUACGCAAAACAGCCCAUAAAAAAAAAAAAACAAAAGAAUUAUGUGACAAGUCUGCACAAUGGAAUGUUGUCAUAUGGAAGCAUCCAGAGAGAGGGAAGAAUAUGUACAGAGCCUGAGAAGUGUGUGGGACAGGGAAUCCUUUUUAGUGCUUUCAAGUGACAAAAAAAGGAUGANAGCAUUAUUGGGUGCCUUUGUUUGUAAACCAAAAAGUAAUAAAUGAAUCCCUCUAUUUCCAUUAUAGUUUUUAUUGUAUUUUUAUGUUCUGAAAAUUAUAUGAGAUAAUGUGGUUAGGAUUACAGGAAGCAGUUCUUAACGCCCCUUGUCUUCUUUAGGUGUCCUUAUUAAUUCUUAUAUCCCAAUAUUAUUUAAGUCUGAGUUGCUCACACAGUAUUUUAGGGAAAUAAUAUAUGCCAAGUGAAUGCUUUUUUGUUAAAGUAUUAUUUUUGUGAAUUAGCUAGAAUGAGCUUGUUUUUCUAAAAACAGAACCAGGAGACCACCAGGGUGUCAUUAGACUCCAGCUACUUUGUUUCAUAUUGAAUCCUGUUAGUUUGGGUACAUUAGUAAUUUAUCUGACUCCAUAUAAGGAAUUACUCAUUAGUGAUACAGAUUGAACCUUUUGGGGGUGAGAAGGGCAGAGUAUAUCAGGCUGAGGUACAGCUGAAUGUACAUUGGCCUUCUAAGCAUGUGCUUGUAGGCUGACUCCCAACCGUGACUUGAAACCAUUCUCAUUAAUUUGCUCUGCUUUGAGGAAAACUUUCUCUUUGCAAGAGAAAGGAACACAUGCUGUGAAAUUUGAUCCAUAAAUGAGUUUAAAUUAACAUCAUGUGAUAGAAGAUAUAUGAAAUAUUUUUUAAUUAAUAUUUUUGUCUUGAAGCAAUUUUCCAGUGAUAGAAUGAAUUUGUCUUAGCAUCUCUGCUACCCCUAAGAUUCCUAAACAAAUCAUCUUUUUGUCAAUUGAAUACCAUUG
RNAcentral lists this long non-coding RNA (6263 nucleotides) under Marmota monax (woodchuck). Lineage: Eukaryota; Metazoa; Chordata; Mammalia; Rodentia; Sciuridae. The record is from RNAcentral.